RNAcentral lists this ribosomal RNA (332 nucleotides) under uncultured Mycoplasmatota bacterium. RNAcentral describes it as "bacterial SSU rRNA". It matches the Rfam family "Bacterial small subunit ribosomal RNA", at positions 28 to 351 of the family's 1533-position model. Lineage: Bacteria; Bacillati; Mycoplasmatota. The record is from RNAcentral.
GAUGAACGCUGGCGGCGUGCCUAAUACAUGCAAGUCGAACGCACCAUUUCGGUGGUGAGUGGCGAACGGGUGAGUAACACGUAGGUAACCUGCCCUUAACGACGAGGAUAACCAAGGGAAACGUUUAGGUCUAAAACUAGGAUAGGAACAUCGAAGGCAUCUUUGUAUGUUUUUAAAAGUAACCUAGCAAUAGGUAUGCUUAAGGAGGGGCCUGCGGCGCAUUAGUUAGUUGGUGAGGUGAAGGCUUACCAAGACGAUGAUGCGUAGCCGGACUGAGAGGUUGAACGGCCACAUUGGGACUGAGAAACGGCCCAAACUCCUACGGGUGGCAG